GAAGGAUAUGGCACAAAGGCGCGCGCACUCAAAACUGGAUCGUCUCGUGAGCUACAGUGAGCUACAAAUGGCGCCAGGUUCUUCAGCUUUGAAUGCCUUCCUACAAAUGAUAACUGGAUAAAAGAUUGAUGCCAGUGUCAUAAGUCUAAUGACAGAUGAGGAGCUGAAGACUUAUUUGCCAUCAUAUGGUGAUCGUCUAGCAGUAUUUGGAUUUUGCAGACGGAGGGGCAGCAGCCGCAAGUCAGCGCUUUUUGAACGGCUGAAAUCCAAACUGUCCAAAAGAAAAUUAUCUGAAGAGGAUGGCAGUAGUACACGGCAAGAAGAACAUUCCCAAACAACCCAUAAAAGAAAUGCUCUGAAGAGAAAUAGAAAAAUAGAAAUAGGAUGGAUGCAUUAUGAUGAAGACACUGAGGUUUUCAAGCAGGUUAGAGCUAGACGAGGAGGAGGAACAAGAAAAAUAGACAUUUGCAAGGAUGCCAAGAAAAGGGACAUAUUACAGGUUGCAACAGGCUUGUUCUUUCCAGAUGGAGGAAACAUUCAGGGGCCCUUAACAGAUUUCGACUGUGAUCUAAAGGAUUAUCAAGAGAUGAUAGUCGAUGAUGCAUUGACAGUAGGAGAACUUUAUCAUGUCACAAAACUAAAUAUCCUCAGGUUCUACCUCACCACAAAGAAAAACAAAAUGACAGCCUUCAGAGUUCCAGCCCAGGUUUGCAUCCAUCUUCAGAAAUUGAAGAGAGUCCUCAAAACCAAACCUCUUCUUUUACUGUCACUACAGUCCAAACAUCUGCUCCAUUUGAAACAAUCAGCCAUGAUGUGCCAUACAUUGAAGACACUCCAAACGAUAACCUUCCACAAUCUUCCACGCAGUCUCUAAGUGCUAACACUUCUCACAGCAGUGACAUUAUUUUUGUUGGCCCCUUUUCUGACAGUGAGCCAAUAAAUUUGGAUGA
Long non-coding RNA from Oreochromis aureus, 950 nucleotides. Lineage: Eukaryota; Metazoa; Chordata; Actinopteri; Cichliformes; Cichlidae. The record is from Ensembl.